This 292-nucleotide ribosomal RNA is filed under the name uncultured bacterium. Its description in RNAcentral is "partial 16S ribosomal RNA". It matches the Rfam family "Bacterial small subunit ribosomal RNA", at positions 505 to 796 of the family's 1533-position model. The record is from RNAcentral.
GUGCCAGCAGCCGCGGUAAUACAGAGGGUGCGAGCGUUGUCCGGAAUCACUGGGCGUAAAGGGCGCGUAGGUGGCUCUAUAAGUCGGGGGUGAAAUGCUGCGGCUCAACCGCAGCGCUGCCUCCGAGACUGUAGGGCUCGAGCACGGUAGAGGCCGAUGGAAUUCCCGGUGUAGCGGUGGAAUGCGUAGAGAUCGGGAAGAACACCAAUGGCGAAGGCAGUCGGCUGGGCCGUUGCUGACACUGAGGCGCGACAGCGUGGGGAGCAAACAGGAUUAGAAACCCUAGUAGUCC